Molecule: transfer RNA, 73 nt
Filed under: bacterium
Lineage: Bacteria
Description: tRNA-Glu
Rfam family: tRNA
About the family: Transfer RNA (tRNA) molecules are approximately 80 nucleotides in length.
Source: RNAcentral
GUCCCCAUCGUCUAGAGGCCUAGGACACCGCCCUUUCACGGCGGUAACACGGGUUCGAAUCCCGUUGGGGACG